GAUGAAGAACGCAGCGAAAUGCGAUACGUAGUGUGAAUUGCAGAAUUCAGUGAAUCAUCGAAUCCUUGAACGCACAUUGCACCUCUCGGUAUUCCGGGAGGUAUGCCUGUUCGAGCGUCAUUUGUACCCUCAAGCUCUGCUUGGUGUUGGGUGUUUGUUCCGCCUCUGUGUGUGAACUCGCCUCAAAACAAUUGGCAGCCGGCGUACUUGUUUCGGAGCGCAGCACAUUUUGCGAUCCAGAUCAACGUACAGCGGCAUCCAAGAAGCCUUAUUUAACGCUCUUGACCUCGGAUCAGGUAGGGAUACCCGCUGAACUUAAGCAUAUCAAUAAGCGGAGGA
Molecule: unclassified non-coding RNA, 339 nt
Filed under: soil metagenome
Description: partial contains 5.8S ribosomal RNA, internal transcribed spacer 2, and large subunit ribosomal RNA
Rfam family: 5.8S ribosomal RNA (bases 1-120)
Source: RNAcentral